ACCCCAUAUACUUAUGGUGGUGGUAUGUGAUUGUGCAUUGAACACUAUAAGGCCGUCAUAGCGAUGCAAACAGGGCAAUGGCCAAUACGAUAAUUUUCAAAUCACCUUUGUGUCCAGUCUAGUUCUGGUGUAAAAACUGCACUGCCAAUACACAGGGAAUCUUGUCGGACUGGAUGAAACUUUGGUUUGAUCCAGCACUGAUGCUCUUAUGAAUUAAAUCCAACUCCUAAGAUGCUCUGGUUCUCUUCAAACAUCUAAAUUCAACACAUUCUCGAUGUCUUCCAAGGCCAUUUAAAUGUUGCAUUGAAUAGGGUUUUUUUUGUAAGCUUUUAAUAUUGCUAAUGGGCUAAUAGACAGGUAGAAGUGUGUUAGCAAUAAAAAUGAGAUCGGGCCAAGAAUAUUAUAUUCAUGUAUCCUUCAAAUCAAACUCUCUCUUUAAGUUUUAAUUCCCACACCAUUCUCUCCCUCCAUUCCAUUUUAACAUUUCAUGAGCAAAAGAAAACUAUGAGAGGAAGCAUGGAAAAUUUAAAUUAAGCUGCACUGAUUCAAUACAAGCAGGGCCUGGAUGAAGUUGCUCAUGAAAAUUAUUGCCAUUAUCAAGAAAUGCUUUAAUUUUUCACCCCCCCUUUUUUUAGCUAAUUGGACUUGCCUAUGUGACUGAUAAAAACAACAAUAUUGUCUCUCCGUUGCCACCCUGUUGCUCUCAAUGACAUCAUAAUGUAGCCCAAAUCUGACUGGAUACAGUUCACCAUGAGGUCAUCACAUUCACUAUGUGAAUCCUGAUUGGAAUAUGGGUUCAUGUGGCAGAGUCAGGAAGGACAAAGCAUCAACAGCAGCCAGGGAGAAAUGGUGUCAUAGCAGUAGCCAUAGGAAACAGUGACAAUGAUCUGGAUGAAAAGUAGGUGAGUUUUUACGUAAUUUAGUCAUUUUCUACCCAGUGAAAUCUCUAUUUUCAAUUUGAAAACUUGGCAGCUGUGGGAUGCCAUCCAUUGAAUUUGCUCAAGUUCAAUCAAACACUUUUGGUUGUGUUGUUCAAGAUGCAUUUAUGACUGAACAAGAAACGGUAAAAGCAGAAAAUGUCAGCUGAAUACCUGCUUCUUCUGUAGGUCUUUAUAGCAAUUUUGCUAGAUUCAAGAGGCUUGUAGUUUUUGGAGAAGUUUCCAAGAAGCAUCUGUAUGGUUUUGUGAAUAAAUGAACUCAUGAACUUUUGGAGAUUAACUAGACUCUAAUAAAUAAUGUCCUUCUAUAGUUUUUAAUCUACUCUGGCAGAAGUGUGGAAUAAAGAUGUUAAGUUCUUAAUAUCUCUUGAGAAAGCAUCCAAAUGUCAGGUUGUACAAUACUGUGCCUUUCUUUGUAAAACCCUGGAAGCCUAGUUUACAAAAAGGAAUGUAAUACAGGGGGAGAUCAUUGUGGAUUACAAAGCAGCUUCUGAAAAUGUCAGUGGUAAAUAGCCAGCAAAUCCCUUAUUAUCAAUAUCAUGGCAUUGAUAUACAGCACAAAGGCAUAUAUGAUACUUGCAAAUCCAUAUCGCAUCAAACAUUUUAGUCAGUAGCAAUCCCUCAGACCCAAGCGAAACACAGGUCUAAUACAUGUGGGAUCUUGGGUUUUAUUAAUGAUUAAGUUACAGGGACUCCUCUUGCACAAAUGAACUUGAUUUUAAUUGAGUUCUAUGAAAAUGUGCCUGGGGUGUUUCUUGCUUUCCUUAUGUCUAAACAUCACAAAAGAGAUUAAAACCCCUUUUUGGGAAAUGAGUCUUCAUUAGGAAGGAAUAAACUGCUUCCACCUUUGGUUUCCCAUGAAGUGAAAAGUGUCUCGCAGUGGAACACAGGCAGUUAUUGACCUCAACCUCUGUGGACUAAAUCAGAUGUAACCUUCGUGCCAUUUGAGCUCAUGCACAAUCUGGUCUAAUGCUACUCUGAUCACCUAUUGUAACAUAAAUGCUAUCUUGUGGCGUCAAGUGAAAAGACAGCUGUCUUCUGUUCAAGUCAAUUGCUUACUAAUGAGCAUGGAUGGUCAUCUGAUGCUUUCCAGGCUUAGCUGAAGGUGCUUGGUUUUUGAUGGCUGUUUCCUCAAUGACCACUGCUAAGGAUAUAGGUGUGGCCUGAAAAGAGGGGGAGAGGCUGAGGAAGAAAUUUGGCCUGCAGGGAUUCCCAAAAGCCACAGAGAGAGAGGCCUGGAGGGCCGCAUCUGACCUGUGGGUCUGAGGUUCCCAAGCCUGGUCUGAUAUUCCUGUGAACCAUGAAGGGAUUAAUCGGCAUUUACGGUUUUGCUUAAUUAAUUCAGACUCACAAACCUGAAGGAUAAAGAACAUUGAACCAUUUCCCACUAAAAAUCAUGAUUUAUUGCAAUUAAACAAUUACAUUAUAAAUGGUAAUUUUGGUGCAAAAUCCUUUUUAUUUUUAAUUGACAAGGCUCAUCAGUUCCAAGCAAAGAUUGAUUCAUGUUGCUUGGAAGUCUUGUUAAGCAAUCCCAUUAUUGUUAUAUUUUUUUACUUCUCUGGGCUGUUUGUAAGAAAGCAUAUUCACCCCAAACGGUAAUUUGCCAUAAAAAAAUAGAUAAAAUAUUGCAGUGGUAACUAACCAGAAAGAAUAAAAUGAUGAUGGAAUUGAGAAAGUUGUACUUGCACAAAAAGCUUUCAAAAUCAGCAUCCUCAGGCUUGAUUAGCAUGAAUGAAAAAAAGAAAUCUCACAUAAAUAAAUAAAAUGCUAGCAACUACUACCUCCUACUUUACUUGUGGGCUCUGCGGUUUAGGGAGCAGAGGGAGGGGUACUCUAGAAGUCUGAGGCAAGCAAGGGCCCACAGCCCAGCUCCCUAACUGGCCAGGUGGGGCUCGCUAGCUCUGGGAGGAGGUGUGUGAUAACUCAGGUGGAGUAGGCUUAGAACAGGUGAGGGUCACAUGUCUCAUCAGGCCCAGAUGCUGUAACAGGCAUGCAAAGUACAGAAGGGCAGCAGAGCAAAGGUUCUGUUUCUGUUGAACUGCCCAUGUUGAUGGCCCUCAGCUUGUGAGACUCUGUUUCUGUAUGGACUUUGGACACAUGGAUUGAUCCUGGACUGGGGACUUAACAUACUGACUUGCUGCCAGGUAGGCCAGAGGUUCAGGACACAGGAGAUGGUGAAAAUUCAACUCUUGAUUGCUUAAUCACUGCUAACAGGAGGGGUUGUAGCUCAGUGGUAGAGAAUAUGCAUUAUGUGGCUUGAUUCCUGGCAUUGUCAGGUAGGGAUGGGAAAGUCUUCUAGCUGAAACUCUGAGAAGUUUCAGUUGGUGUAGAACAGUGAUUGCUAAACUUGGCCCUCCAGCUGUUUUGGGACUACAAUUCCCAUCAUCCCUGACCACAGGUCCUGUUAGCUAGGGGUGAUGGGAGUUGUAGUCCCAAAACAGCUGGAGGGCCAAGUUUGGUCAUCACUGGUGUAGAAGAUCACACUAAAUUGACAAGUGAAUCAUAGAAUCAUAGAAUCAUAGAGUUGGAAGAGACCACAAGGGCCAUCGAGUCCAACCCCCUGCCAAGCAGGAAACACCAUCAGAGCACUCCUGACAUAUGGUUGUCAAGCCUCUGCUUAAAGACCUCCAAAGAAGGAGACUCCACCACACUCCUUGGCAGCAAAUUCCACUGUCAAACAGCUCUUACUGUCAGGAGGUUCUUCCUAAUGUUUAGGUGGAAUCUUAUUUCUUGUAGUUUGGAUCCAUUGCUCCGUGUCCGCUUCUCUGGAGCAACAGAAAACAACCUUUCUCCCUCCUCUAUGUGACAUCCUUUUAUAUAUUUGAACAUGGCUAUCAUAUCACCCCUUAACCUCCUCUUCUCCAGGCUAAACAUGCCCAGCUCCCUUAGCCGUUCCUCAUAAGGCAUCGUUUCCAGGCCUUUGACCAUUUUGGUUGCCCUCCUCUGGACACGUUCCAGUUUGUCAGUGUCCUUCUUGAACUGUGGUGCCCAGAACUGGACACAGUACUCCAGGUGAGGUCUGACCAGAGCAGAAUACAGUGGCACUAUUACUUCCCUUGAUCUAGAUGCUCUGACUUGGUUCCUGUGUUCCUAAACCAGAAAAUGGGUCAUGGGAUUAUGCCAUCCCUCCUGGAAUAUGAAAUCUCAUAAAUUUGGAUAUGGUUUCAAACCCUGACUAAGUAGUAACCCAGUUUAGUUCUAACUAAGUGCUGACAUAAUGAUCUACUGCAGAGAAUUUAUGCUCUGUGAGAGGUAUUGGAAAGAUCAUUGUUGAACCAUGUUAAGCAAUUGGCAGUGUUACAUCUCCAGAAAGAUAUUUCUUUUGAAGAUCUCAUGUGUUAGAAGCAUGACAUGAAACCCGUUAUAGCAUCUAGUGCGAAUUACACCACCUCUUUGCAUGCUUACCAGUGGUGAAUCGCUCCAGAAUUUGCCACCUUGGAGAUAUGCCUAGCAUGAGGCUGUAAAUCAGAUGUAAUUCUCUGCUUUAGUGCUGCUUAUAUGAGUAUUGGCAAAAAAGUGGUCUAGUCUGUUGAUACAGCUUCAGUCAAUUAAAAAAAAAAGCAGAAUGAAUUAUUAGAGAUACAGUUAAUUUGGCUUCUCUUUGAGUGCAUAGAUAAAUUCCUUGAAUCUCAUUAAUUGUUUUCCUGUAGUGAACAGGAAAAUGUAUUCCCAGAGAACUGAGCUGAAAAUGGUAUCUCAUAUUCUUAAAAUUAACUGGGGUGGUGGUGGUGGUGGUUAGAAAUGUAUAACCUAGCGGAUAAUGUUAGUGUUUAAUACAGAUGGGAAAUGGUGUGUGUAUAAAAUCCCUGGUGUUGAAUUAAUAUAAAAAGUGGCAGUUCUCUGCUUUAGCAUGCUGCAGCCUCUUAGAUUUUGUUUCUUACACCUGGCUAAGCACCCAUUCAAUAUGAGUAAUCAUUCAGAAUGAUACCUAUAGACUAAUAAUGCUCAACAGACCUCUGGUUAAUUUUGUGGUUAGUGAGUUGGGAAAUUGUGGAGGUACACCAUGAAAACAUUGCUAAGCAGUAAAUUAUCCUAGACUUGGUUGCUGGUAAAACCUUGGAAUCAAAGCAUGUAAUACACAGAGGAACGGCUUUCAAUCUGUGUUCCAUAGGCUUCCUCAAUGAGAAGAUCAGAAUGGUAGGCAAGGAUAGGUGGGCCACCGCUGUCAAUCUUCCCUUGCCGUUGUUCACUGUAGCAUGGGUUUGGGCAAUGCUCGCUGUAUGAACCAUGCUGCUAGAACGUUCCCCAGAGUCCUCUGCAACAAGCAGGGGGUUCCUGGCAGGUAUUCCACAGCAGAUAAGUUGAGAUAGAAAGGAUUUCCUGAAGCCAGACAGUUUGCAAAUGACUAGUAUAGACCUUACCAUGGAGCAAUGGGUAUUUGGACUCUACACUGAAAUAUAUUAGCGUGGUUUUGGUGGGUGGGGAAGAAGUCUCUGCCCUGAGGAGUUUUCAUGAAAAGGGGGGACAAGGGGGGGAAUACAAAUGAAUGCAGUUGCACAAUGCUUGGGAGCAAGCCAACCGAAGUCACUUGGAUUUACUUAUGAGUAAACAUGCAGAGGAUUGCACCAUGGGGGUAAGGACUAAUCAUUAAGUCAGACUUUUCAUGGAAAAGGUGGGUUUUGUUUAGGGAUUUUGCUCUAUUUAUUUACUCCUGUCAUAUAAUUUAAAAAGUUAUCGGGGCAGCUUAUAACACCAUAAUAAGGCGAAUUAAGAAUGAUUAGCAAUAAAAUAAAAGGUAGCAAUAAAAAAUAAUGCAGCUUGAAAACACAUGGAGAAGACAAGGAUGAAAACAGAUCAGGUUUGAAAGGCCUGGCGAAAAGAAAAUGGUCUUUGAUGUCAGGAAGGUGGGCUUUCUCUGGGAAGGCCGGCACUGAAGAGAACAGAAUGGGCGCAAUAUAUGGUACUGCCACCACCCCAUUGCUGCUCCUGCUUACUUUUAAAGAGUUUUGCCUCCACUGAUAAUGAUGUUCUGAGAGGGUCUUCCCUCAGAGCAAAACAUUCUAGGCAAGGUGGCCCAGAAGAACACUGGUACUGCCACAAAUUUUCCAUGGCAGCUAGAAAUGACCUAUAAAUGUUGAAGCAGGAGUUGUGUCCCAUGGAUGUUUUUGGAUUCCAACUCUCAUCAGCCCCAGCCAUCAUGACCAAUGGGCAGAGAUGAUGGUUUGUUGUCAAUAUUUAUUCUUGCAAUCUCAUUUUUGACCACAUCCAACUUACCAAGGUUCAUGGUUCUUACAUUCCAGCUUCCUAUGCAAUAUUUUUCUUUACAGCAUUGGACUUUCCUUUCGCUUCCAGGCAUAUCCACAACUGAGGACCUUUCGGCUUUGGCCUAGCCGCUUCAUCAGCUCUGAAUCUACUUGUACUUGUCCUCUGCUCUUCCUCAGUAGCAUGUUGAACGCCUUCUGACCUGAGGGGCUCAUCUUCCAGCGUCAUAACUUUUAUAU
This 6379-nucleotide long non-coding RNA is filed under the name Podarcis lilfordi (Lilford's wall lizard). Lineage: Eukaryota; Metazoa; Chordata; Lepidosauria; Squamata; Lacertidae. The record is from RNAcentral.